AGAGGCGAUGAAGGACGUGCUAAUCUGCGAUAAGCGUCGGUAAGGUGAUAUGAACCGUUAUAACCGGCGAUUUCCGAAUGGGGAAACCCAGUGUGAUUCGUCACACUAUCAUUAACUGAAUCCAUAGGUUAAUGAGGCGAACCGGGGGAACUGAAACAUCUAAGUACCCCGAGGAAAAGAAAUCAACCGAGAUUCCCCCAGUAGCGGCGAGCGAACGGGGAGCAGCCCAGAGCCUGAAUCAGUGUGUGUGUUAGUGGAAGCGUCUGGAAAGGCGCGCGAUACAGGGUGACAGCCCCGUACACAAAAAUGCACAUACUGUG
RNAcentral lists this ribosomal RNA (320 nucleotides) under Escherichia coli. Its description in RNAcentral is "partial 23S ribosomal RNA". It matches the Rfam family "Bacterial large subunit ribosomal RNA", at positions 43 to 398 of the family's 2925-position model. Lineage: Bacteria; Pseudomonadati; Pseudomonadota; Gammaproteobacteria; Enterobacterales; Enterobacteriaceae. The record is from RNAcentral.